Molecule: small nuclear RNA, 22 nt
Filed under: Arabidopsis thaliana (thale cress)
Lineage: Eukaryota; Viridiplantae; Streptophyta; Magnoliopsida; Brassicales; Brassicaceae
Description: snRNA_14309
Source: RNAcentral
AGAAGAUUCAAAUCCAGAAACU